CAUAACGUUAUUUUAUUCACAUAUACAAAGUGGUAUGACAAAAAAGCACGAUGCCAAAUCGGGUUUUUUUUCUGUUAGUUGCGAAUGUAUUCGUUAUAGUAGUUAAUUUGCUAGUCCACGGAUGUUCCCGCCGAAAUUGGACUUCGUUAUUAUGAAUAUUAAUAAAUUAAUAUGAGGUGUGUUUUUAUCAACUUAACCACUUGGUUGUUUUUGCUUCAGAAAAGCAACUAGUUAUAAAUGUAAGCGCUUUUUUGGACAACUUCGGUGAAAAGUGUUGAUUUCGUAGUUCAGUCAGCGUAACUUGUAUCCGAGAGGUCUUACAGGCGCCACAGACACCUAUCAGCCUUUUGUAAGGAGGAGCAGCUCGAGUGCGGUGCGGUCAGUAGCCCUUCAAAUUAGAAAAGUGAGGAUGAUCUUGUCAAUGCUGAGAUUUUCAUGCAUCAGCAGCCACUACAUCUGGAUCAGAUUGAACAAGAAACAGACAGCAAGGGUUGUCAGAUCAGAAACAGAAUGACACACAAACACAAGAAACUUCACAGAUAAACAUGCAAUUUGAAGACGUGUGAUAAAAUACAGAGAGGUGAAGUAGUGUGUCUUUCCAGAUGCCCAAAUCAUUCCCCCUUAAAAGAUGAGCCUGAAGAGGAGAUUUGGGAAGAUGCUGUUUCAUAAGUCGCUUUGCCAGAUCACCUGUGGUCGGGAUGUCUGCUAACAAGAUGCCUUGCUGGUCUGAGCGAGUUUAAAGUCUUACACAGACAGUCCAGAAGUUCUGAAGUCCAUCUUCGAUUUCAUUGGACGCUUUAAGGUGUAGAAACAUCUCAGCAACCUCAAGAGAAAUUGGAGGCAACUGAGCUAAAUUGCAGAUGUUGUUGCAAAGGGUCUGAAUAUGUAUAAUAUGCUGUCAUCGUAUUAAGUACAGCAUGAGCCAGAAUAGAUGGGUGGUGGUGGCCAUAAGAAGACUGUCAACUAAACCAACAACAAAAUUAAUAUUUGC
This is a long non-coding RNA of Paramisgurnus dabryanus, 991 nucleotides long. RefSeq lists it as uncharacterized. Lineage: Eukaryota; Metazoa; Chordata; Actinopteri; Cypriniformes; Cobitidae. The record is from RefSeq and is a predicted model, not a curated record.